Molecule: transfer RNA, 73 nt
Filed under: Proteus mirabilis
Lineage: Bacteria; Pseudomonadati; Pseudomonadota; Gammaproteobacteria; Enterobacterales; Morganellaceae
Description: tRNA-Ala
Rfam family: tRNA
About the family: Transfer RNA (tRNA) molecules are approximately 80 nucleotides in length. Their secondary structure includes four short double-helical elements and three loops (D, anti-codon, and T loops).
Source: RNAcentral
GGGGCUAUAGCUCAGCUGGGAGAGCGCCUGCCUUGCACGCAGGAGGUCCGCGGUUCGAUCCCGCUUAGCUCCA